UGGGGGCAUAUUCAGCAAACGGCUAGAGCGAUGGACGUGUUAAAGAGCAGCUGCAGUUGAUGUUCAGCUGAUGGGCAUCUCUGAUAUGCAUCCAUACGUGUGACCUGCUGAAGCGUGUCUGUGUGCUGGGUCAUGUGACCGUGGAAGUGUGCAUGGAGCGUGCCAGCUUUGAAUAUGCGUGAGGCAGGCUAAGUGCUACAGACUCAUGAUUUGCCUCCCCCCAACACCACCAGCACUACUGAGACUUCUGACAGGUGGAGAGUGAGAGCUAAGCCUGCUUCCUUGAUUCUGUGGCCGAAGAGAAAAUAACAAACACUGGCAGCAAAAGAGCAAGCAACUGCAAUAAUAAGCUGAAGGCAAUAAUAGG
This is a long non-coding RNA of Astatotilapia calliptera (eastern happy), 367 nucleotides long. The record is from Ensembl. Lineage: Eukaryota; Metazoa; Chordata; Actinopteri; Cichliformes; Cichlidae.